Molecule: transfer RNA, 69 nt
Filed under: Stemonosudis rothschildi (Rothschild's barracudina)
Lineage: Eukaryota; Metazoa; Chordata; Actinopteri; Aulopiformes; Paralepididae
Description: tRNA-Met
Source: RNAcentral
AACAGGGUCAGCUAAUUAAGCUUCUGGGCUCAUUACCCAGCAAUGUAGGUUAAUGCCCUAUUCCUGUUG